This 73-nucleotide transfer RNA is filed under the name Aeromicrobium sp. RNAcentral describes it as "tRNA-Arg". It matches the Rfam family "tRNA". Rfam says of the family: Transfer RNA (tRNA) molecules are approximately 80 nucleotides in length. Their secondary structure includes four short double-helical elements and three loops (D, anti-codon, and T loops). Further hydrogen bonds mediate the characteristic L-shaped molecular structure. tRNAs have two regions of fundamental functional importance: the anti-codon, which is responsible for specific mRNA codon recognition, and the 3' end, to which the tRNAs corresponding amino acid is attached (by aminoacyl-tRNA synthetases). tRNAs cope with the degeneracy of the genetic code in two manners: having more than one tRNA (with a specific anti-codon) for a particular amino acid; and 'wobble' base-pairing, i.e. permitting non-standard base-pairing at the 3rd anti-codon position. The record is from RNAcentral. Lineage: Bacteria; Bacillati; Actinomycetota; Actinomycetes; Propionibacteriales; Nocardioidaceae.
GCCCCCGUAGCUCAGCGGAUAGAGCAGCCGCCUCCUAAGCGAAAGGUCGCAGGUUCGACUCCUGCCGAGGGCA